This 433-nucleotide ribosomal RNA is filed under the name uncultured bacterium. RNAcentral's name for it is "partial 16S ribosomal RNA". It matches the Rfam family "Bacterial small subunit ribosomal RNA", at positions 29 to 507 of the family's 1533-position model. The record is from RNAcentral.
AACGAAGGCUGGCGGCAUGCCUAACACAUGCAAGUCGAACGAGACCUUCGGGUCUAGUGGCGCACGGGUGCGUAACGCGUGGGAACCUGCCCUUAGGUUCGGAAUAACUCCCCGAAAGGGGUGCUAAUACCGGAUAAUGUCUUCGGACCAAAGAUUUAUCGCCUUUGGAUGGGCCCGAGUUGGAUUAGCUAGUUGGUAGGGUAAAAGCCUACCAAGGCGACGAUCCAUAGCUGGUCUGAGAGGAUGAUCAGCCACACUGGGACUGAGACACGGCCCAGACUCCUACGGGAGGCAGCAGUGGGGAAUAUUGGACAGUGGGCGAAAGCCUGAUCCAGCAAUGCCGCGUGAGUGAUGAAGGCCUUAGGGUUGUAAAGCUCUUUUACCCGGGAUGAUAAUGACAGUACCGGGAGAAUAAGCUCCGGCUAACUCCGUG